This 240-nucleotide ribosomal RNA is filed under the name uncultured Lactobacillus sp. Its description in RNAcentral is "partial 16S ribosomal RNA". It matches the Rfam family "Bacterial small subunit ribosomal RNA", at positions 122 to 354 of the family's 1533-position model. Lineage: Bacteria; Bacillati; Bacillota; Bacilli; Lactobacillales; Lactobacillaceae. The record is from RNAcentral.
UAACCUGCCCAAGAGAUCGGGAUAACACCUGGAAACAGAUGCUAAUACCGGAUAACAACAGAUGAUGCCUAUCAACUGUUUAAAAGAUGGUUCUGCUAUCACUCUUGGAUGGACCUGCGGUGCAUUAGCUAGUUGGUAGGGUAACGGCCUGCCAAGGCGAUGAUGCAUAGCCGAGUUGAGAGACUGAUCGGCCACAUUGGGACUGAGACACGGCCCAAACUACUACGGGAGGCAGCAGGG